UACGAAGGGGGCUAGCGUUGCUCGGAUUGACUGGGCGUAAAGGGCGCGUAGGCGGUUCGUACAGUCAGACGUGAAAUUCCUGGGCUCAACCUGGGGGCUGCGUUUGAUACGUGCGGACUUGAGUGCGGAAGAGGGUCGUGGAAUUCCCAGUGUAGAGGUGAAAUUCGUAGAUAUUGGGAAGAACACCGGUGGCGAAGGCGGCGACCUGGUCCGAUACUGACGCUGAGGCGCGAAAGCGUGGGGAUCAAACAGG
RNAcentral lists this ribosomal RNA (253 nucleotides) under uncultured bacterium. RNAcentral's name for it is "partial 16S ribosomal RNA". It matches the Rfam family "Bacterial small subunit ribosomal RNA", at positions 524 to 776 of the family's 1533-position model. The record is from RNAcentral.